AAACACACAAUAAAGAUAAAUAUUUACAGGUGCAACGGCAGUGCAGUCGAGUUUUCGGAAAUGGCCGUCGGUGAAGUGAAGACAGUGAGAAGAUGGGUACAAAAAAAGAAAGAUGUGGAAGACGAAGUUUAGGUGGGACUUGGGCCUUUUUUUCUCCCCGAAGUGCCCAUUAAGUGAGAAUCUAUUUGGAAUUGGAAAUAAAAGAAAAUCAGUGAUUGGUAGCCAUUAGCCAAACGCCAAAAUUCUACCUCGAAACCUAACUCCGACUCGGCGAUUCCCGGUCUUCUUCCACCCGCAGAUGCAUGCCGUCACCAAUCACGAACUCAG
Molecule: long non-coding RNA, 327 nt
Filed under: Olea europaea (common olive)
Lineage: Eukaryota; Viridiplantae; Streptophyta; Magnoliopsida; Lamiales; Oleaceae
Description: long non-coding RNA (OEUR_LNC012002)
Source: RNAcentral